Molecule: ribosomal RNA, 253 nt
Filed under: uncultured bacterium
Lineage: Bacteria
Description: partial 16S ribosomal RNA
Rfam family: Bacterial small subunit ribosomal RNA
Source: RNAcentral
GACGAACCGUGCGAACGUUGUUCGGAAUCACUGGGCUUAAAGGGCGCGUAGGCGGCAGAUCAAGUCCGGGGUGAAAGCCCCCAGCUUAACUGGGGAAGUGCCUUGGAAACUGAUGUGCUUGAGGGAGGUAGGGGUCGAGGGAACUUCUGGUGGAGCGGUGAAAUGCGUUGAUAUCAGAAGGAACGCCGGUGGCGAAAGCGCUCGACUGGACCUUUUCUGACGCUGAAGCGCGAAAGCUAGGGGAGCAAACGGG